RNAcentral lists this ribosomal RNA (491 nucleotides) under uncultured bacterium. RNAcentral describes it as "partial 16S ribosomal RNA". It matches the Rfam family "Bacterial small subunit ribosomal RNA", at positions 29 to 507 of the family's 1533-position model. The record is from RNAcentral.
AUGAACGCUAGCUACAGGCUUAACACAUGCAAGUCGAGGGGAAACGACAUCGAAAGCUUGCUUUUGAUGGGCGUCGACCGGCGCACGGGUGAGUAACGCGUAUCCAACCUGCCCAUCACUUGGGAAUAACCUUGCGAAAGUAAGACUAAUACCCAAUGAUAUCCCACGAAGGCAUCGGAAUGGGAUUAAAGAUUUAUCGGUGAUGGAUGGGGAUGCGUCUGAUUAGCUUGUUGGCGGGGUAACGGCCCACCAAGGCAACGAUCAGUAGGGGUUCUGAGAGGAAGGUCCCCCACAUUGGAACUGAGACACGGUCCAAACUCCUACGGGAGGCAGCAGUGAGGAAUAUUGGUCAAUGGGCGAGAGCCUGAACCAGCCAAGUAGCGUGCAGGAAGACGGCCCUAUGGGUGGUAAACUGCUUUUAUAAGGGAAUAAAGUGGGUCACGUGUGACUUUUUGCAUGUACCUUAUGAAUAAGGACCGGCUAAUUCCGUG